AACAUGAGAUGUCCAGGAUUGGAGGUUGAAAAGAUUUCACUACAGUGUUCUGCAAUAGUUGGAGCAGAUAACUUUCAGUGUAGCCACAGCCAUGGACUCCAGAUUUCCAGAUUUUCAAGACCUGGACCUGGAACCCGAAAGAGCUUGUCACGAUGCGGCAGGAACACUGGAGGUAGAUUUUUUUUUAUUUUUGAAUUUUGGGACUGUUGACCUUGCUGUGAGAAAAGAGACAACGACUGAGCAAGCACUACCACCAGCACUGUUACUGGGAAUUAGAAGACCUGAGUUUCUGUCCAGACCCUCAGUGCAAACUGAGGAUGCUCCAUCCAAAGUGAAUUAUGAUAGCAGACUCCUUGAAAGCAGGGUCCUUGUUUAGUGCAUCUUUGCCCACAUACACCACAACAUAUCAAGAUGCAUUUAUUAGGAAGGAGGAGUUUAGAGAGCAGGCUAUCAGAAUAACCACUCAUCCUGUGCCUCCUGAUUGCUGAGUGUUCACCUGGACCUUCUGACUACCUUCCCUGUGCUAUUCCAUCAGCCUACAGACCUGGUACCUGGAUUUUUGCCCGAGAUGAUUCCUACCACCUUACUACUGACGAAGACACCCAUUCCAGUGGACCACUGUGACCCAGGAGGCAUUCAGCCAUCAUGAUGUGGCCUUUACCUCCACUCCUGUCUUGUUCUACCCAGAUUCAGCACAGCCCUUUAUAGUGAAGUCAGAGUCCUCAAGCCAAAUAGCUAAAGCUGUUUUAUCACAACAAAGGCCUAGUUUGUUCCAUGAGUGUGCAUUUCAUUUCUUCAGUUAAAGCCUUCAGAGACACACAAUAAAUUUGGACCAGGGGAUUUUUUAGUUAUUAAUGCUCUCUGAAGAAAGGCAACAUCUUUUUGAGAGCAGCAUUGGACCACACCCCACAAUCUCAAAUGAUUGAAAUUCAUGAACAUCUAGGAUCCCGUGAAGGUCACUGGACCCU
RNAcentral lists this long non-coding RNA (968 nucleotides) under Homo sapiens (human). Its description in RNAcentral is "non-protein coding TUG1:27". The stretch from base 469 to 705 matches the Rfam family "Taurine upregulated gene 1 conserved region 3". The record is from RNAcentral. Lineage: Eukaryota; Metazoa; Chordata; Mammalia; Primates; Hominidae.